GACGAACGCUGGCGGCGUGCUUAACACAUGCAAGUCGAACGGAAAGGCCCUGCUUUUGUGGGGUGCUCGAGUGGCGAACGGGUGAGUAACACGUGAGUAACCUGCCCUUGACUUUGGGAUACCUUCAGGAAACUGGGGCUAAUCCCCGAUCGGUGCUCCUGCUGCAUGGUGGGGGUUGGAAAGUUGCGGCGGUUGGGGAUGGACUCGCGGCUUAUCAGCUUGUUGGUGGGGUAGUGGCUUACCAAGGCUUUGCCGGGUAGCCGGCCUGAGAGGGUGACCGGCCACAUUGGGACUGAGAGACGGCCCAGACGCGUACGGGAGGCAGCAGUGGGGAAUAUGGCACAAUGGGCGGAAGCCUGAUGCAGCAACGCCGCGUGCGGGAUGACGGCCUUCGGGUUGUGAACCGCUUGCGCCUGUGACGAAGCGGGAGUGACGGUAAUGGGUAAAGAAGCACCGGCUAACUACGUG
Molecule: ribosomal RNA, 468 nt
Filed under: uncultured bacterium
Lineage: Bacteria
Description: partial 16S ribosomal RNA
Rfam family: Bacterial small subunit ribosomal RNA
Source: RNAcentral